RNAcentral lists this ribosomal RNA (784 nucleotides) under uncultured Inocybe. RNAcentral describes it as "eukaryotic LSU rRNA". The stretch from base 292 to 445 matches the Rfam family "5.8S ribosomal RNA". The record is from RNAcentral. Lineage: Eukaryota; Fungi; Basidiomycota; Agaricomycetes; Agaricales; Cortinariaceae.
UAAAAGUCGUAACAAGGUUUCCGUAGGUGAACCUGCGGAAGGAUCAUUAUUGAAUAAACUUGAACAGGCUGUUUGCUGGCCUCUCUCUCCGGAGGGGGUAUGUGCACGCUUGUCAUCUUUAUCUCUCCAACUGUGCACAUGCUGUAGAUCUGGGAGCCCUUUUGUAUUCUCGAAUAGAUUGAGGAUUGCUGUACUCAAGUGUCAGCUUUGCCUUGCAUUUCCAGAUCUAUGUUUUUUUUUCACAAUCUCUGAAUGUGUCUAGAAUGUUGAAUCGAAUGAUAAAUCAUAUACAACUUUCAGCAACGGAUCUCUUGGCUCUCGCAUCGAUGAAGAACGCAGCGAAAUGCGAUAAGUAAUGUGAAUUGCAGAAUUCAGUGAAUCAUCGAAUCUUUGAACGCAUCUUGCGCUCCUUGGUAUUCCGAGGAGCAUGCCUGUUUGAGUGUCAUUUGAGUUCUCAAACCAUGCUGAUUUUAUUGGCGUGGCUUUGGAUGUGGGGGUUUGCGGGCUUUUGAAGUCGGCUCCCCUGAAAUGCAUUAGUGGUAUCUGAGCAGAGACUACUUACAGGUGUGAUAAAUUAUCUAUCUAUGCCUCGGUAUGCUGCAUGAAACAGAUUGCACUGCUUAUAACGAGUGGAAAUUUGACAAGUUUGACCUCAAAUCAGGUAGGACUACCCGCUGAACUUAAGCAUAUCAAUAAGCGGAGGAAAAGAAACUAACAAGGAUUCCCCUAGUAACUGCGAGUGAAGCGGGAAAAGCUCAAAUUUGAAAUCUGGCGGUUUUUGACC